Molecule: long non-coding RNA, 956 nt
Organism: Wyeomyia smithii (pitcher-plant mosquito)
Lineage: Eukaryota; Metazoa; Arthropoda; Insecta; Diptera; Culicidae
Exons: 3
Source: RefSeq, a predicted model, not a curated record
UGAAACGCUAACAGUGAACGCUAAUUCUGGCGGAAACAGGCUGACGAGUUUACAGGAAGAAGGAGAAGCUUCGGUGACGUUCGGAAAAGUGUUGAGCUGACGCAAGCAACUCGGGUUAGAUUGACGGAGAGAAAGAGUGGUUACGCAUUGGUUAAAAAGCGAUAGGUUCGGGAGAGUGCAGGAAUGCGUACAGAUCGUGUCAUGAUCGAGAGAGAAUUUCGGUGGAAAGAGAUAAACGACGGAGCUAGAGACGCCCGAUAAUCCACCGAAGACCAUCGUUCGACAUUCUGUUGACUAAAGUUACCGCGAUAAGACGUGUUUCGUUUCAGCUGAUGCAUAAUGGCCGAAAAGCGUCACGACACAUCUCUUACCAUGAUGUACACUGAAAAAACUGCGCACGCUUCAUCCAAGUGUUUCAUCAAAGGAUAUGAAAAUGACUCUGCAUUGUUAUUUGAAGAAUUUUUUUUAUCGAAUUCAAUCAUUUUUCACUUUCGUUUCAAGUUGUCGCACACAUUAAGUGACAUCUAUGAACCGCACAUCAUUUACGUAUGAUUCCAACAUCCCUUUCAAGUGAAUUGCACUUGAAUCUGCCCCACUGUUUCAUCACAGUGAUUAUCAUGUGCGAAACACUUUCAGUUGAUUUGUUUUGUUCUUAUAUGUUAAAUGACGAGCCGUUUGUGCUGAGAAGUAGAAAAAUGGCGACAGAUGAAGAUUCAGCGAGUGUAAUACGGCCUUGAAGUUCGUCCAUUUUUCGGACUAUACAUCUGUAAAUUUUUGCAAGACAUUCUAAUGAAAGCAUCUUUGCGCUAGAGGCUUCUUCAAUAGAGAACGAAAAUUUUAAAUUUGGUGAUGAAACGUUAUAAUUUAAAUUUUAAGUUUUACAAAUAAAAGAAAGGUUUCAUUGUAGAACUGUUUUCAUUUGAAAAUCGAAUAAAAAUCAUUAGAACUUCGGUAAA